GCUUUAUCUCUCUAAGUUUCAAGUCAUUAUUUACCAAUUUUUUUUUUUUUUUUAUGUUCCAGCUGAUAACAUCUACUCUGCAGUGAUGCCUCAGACAGUAACAGCUCUGACAGGCUCUUGUGUGGAGAUUCCUUGCACAUUCAACACAUAACCCUAGUCCAGCGGAUUCACCUGAUUUAAGCAAGACUGUGAGGAUCUCUGUCAGAGAUUCACUACAACCUCCUGAACUUAAACCCAAUGAUCUGACAGUGAUGGAGGAAAGUACAGUCAAUCUGAGCUGCUCUGCUGAAGCCCCCUGCCCCAAACAACCUCCUACAAUAUCCUGGUCUAACAUCCCUAAAUCUGACAAAACCCAGUCAGUGUUUUCAUACAUGACCUUCAAAGCUUCAUGCAAAGAUCACAGGAAGAACAUUUCCGGCACUGCUACAUAUCCAAGAAAUAUGCCUAAUGACUCAACAGCAGAGACCUCCGUGAUGUUAUGAGUCCUGUUGCUUCCAACAAAAACACACAUCACCAUCAAUCCACCUACUUCAGUCUCUGUUGGCACUAAUGUGACUUUGACAGCACUGGAUAAAUAUGGCAGUCAGUCAACAGCAGAGAUCCAGUUCACAGCUGAAGGCAUUUCACAUGACAAAGGACAAGAUGGACCAUCUAUGGCCAUGAUUGCUGGUUGUGUAGGAGGAGUUGUGGCAUUGCUCAUGCUCUCUGCUAUUGGAUUUUGUAAUAGGACGAGGACAAAGACACACAGGGGAGACAAUUUUGGGGAAAAGGAUUCCCUAAAUCAGGCACAGGAUGGAAUUGACAGGAAUUACACUUAUGCUAAUGUUCUUACCGUGACCAACCAGGACAACAGGAUCUAUGAUGAUCAAAGUGUGCGUGACUGUAAUAUUGAAUUCAGUACUCAGAUCGACCACAUUACAGAAAAAGAUUCAACAGAAGAAGACAACUAUGAAAAAGGUUCAGAU
Cyprinus carpio carpio is the source of this 965-nucleotide long non-coding RNA. The record is from Ensembl. Lineage: Eukaryota; Metazoa; Chordata; Actinopteri; Cypriniformes; Cyprinidae.